Molecule: unclassified non-coding RNA, 287 nt
Filed under: uncultured fungus
Lineage: Eukaryota; Fungi
Description: partial contains small subunit ribosomal RNA, internal transcribed spacer 1, and 5.8S ribosomal RNA
Rfam family: Eukaryotic small subunit ribosomal RNA (bases 1-73)
Source: RNAcentral
GCAAACUUGGUCAUUUAGAGGAAGUAAAAGUCGUAACAAGGUCUCCGUAGGUGAACCUGCGGAGGGAUCAUUAUUAGAGAGUAAAACCUCUUAAACCCACUGUGAAUUUAUAAAAGUUCAUUGUUCUUUUGGUAGACGAUUCCUGGGAGGAGUCUUUAAGCUGGUAACAGUGUCUGCCAAGAGGACGUAAAACUCUUGUUAAUCUUUGCUAUCUGAGCUUUUAUAAAAAUAAAAUUAAAACUUUCAACAACGGAUCUCUUGGUUCUGGCAUCGAUGAAGAACGCAGC